This 72-nucleotide transfer RNA is filed under the name Apaloderma vittatum (bar-tailed trogon). It matches the Rfam family "tRNA". From Rfam's summary of the family: Transfer RNA (tRNA) molecules are approximately 80 nucleotides in length. Their secondary structure includes four short double-helical elements and three loops (D, anti-codon, and T loops). Lineage: Eukaryota; Metazoa; Chordata; Aves; Trogoniformes; Trogonidae. The record is from Rfam by way of RNAcentral.
GACCGGUUAGCUCAGUCAGUUGAGCGCAGGGCUAACAAUCCUAAGGUCGUGGGUUUGAUUCCCGCUCGGUCC